AUUGAACGCUGGCGGCAUGCUUUACACAUGCAAGUCGAACGGUAACAGGCCGCAAGGUGCUGACGAGUGGCGAACGGGUGAGUAAUAUAUCGGAACGUGCCCAGUCGUGGGGGAUAACGCAGCGAAAGCUGUGCUAAUACCGCAUACGAUCUACGGAUGAAAGCGGGGGAUCGCAAGACCUCGCGCGAUUGGAGCGGCCGAUAUCAGAUUAGCUAGUUGGUGAGGUAAAGGCUCACCAAGGCGACGAUCUGUAGCUGGUCUGAGAGGACGACCAGCCACACUGGAACUGAGACACGGUCCAGACUCCUACGGGAGGCAGCAGUGGGGAAUUUUGGACAAUGGGCGAAAGCCUGAUCCAGCAAUGCCGCGUGCAGGAUGAAGGCCUUCGGGUUGUAAACUGCUUUUGUACGGAACGAAACGGUGAGCUCUAAUACAGUUUGCUAAUGACGGUACCGUAAGAAUAAGCACCGGCUAACUACGUGCCAGCCGCCGCAGUAA
RNAcentral lists this ribosomal RNA (498 nucleotides) under uncultured bacterium. Its description in RNAcentral is "partial 16S ribosomal RNA". It matches the Rfam family "Bacterial small subunit ribosomal RNA", at positions 30 to 523 of the family's 1533-position model. The record is from RNAcentral.